RNAcentral lists this ribosomal RNA (399 nucleotides) under Triticum aestivum (bread wheat). RNAcentral's name for it is "partial small subunit ribosomal RNA". The record is from RNAcentral. Lineage: Eukaryota; Viridiplantae; Streptophyta; Magnoliopsida; Poales; Poaceae.
AUGCCCCCACCCCCGCCAACCGCCUAUCGCCGCCGCCGCCAAUUUCCACUGCCCAAGCACGCCGCCGCCACUACCAUCCCCAAGUGCGCCGCCGCCGCUAGUUCCCCGCCUCUCAGAUCCUGGUCAAGUCCGCCGCCGCGAGCCGCCAACCAUCGCGCCGCCCACCGCCAUCCACACAGACACCACCACGCGCAACCCGCAUUCCCCGAACGUCGCGCAUCACUGUACUCCUCCAGCCAGCUUGUGAAGAGGCCGCCAGCGGCGAAACCCUCGUGGGUGCAGGUGCGGACGAGAUGGGCGGGGACAUGGCAGAGGAGCUCCGACUUGGUCUGUUUGGCUGCCGGCGGAAGGUUGUUGCCACGCACGCGUAUGAUUGGAGGCGGAAGAUUGGAGCUGUAA